This is a long non-coding RNA of Macadamia integrifolia, 649 nucleotides long. RefSeq lists it as uncharacterized. The transcript has 3 exons. NCBI's taxonomy places the organism in Eukaryota, Viridiplantae, Streptophyta, Magnoliopsida, Proteales, Proteaceae. The record is from RefSeq and is a predicted model, not a curated record.
UUCCUCUAAACCGAAAAGAAUGAACAACCCCAUUCUUAUUUAUUUUCUAGGGAAAUGUUAGUUUCGAGAAUGCUGUGUUUGAUUUGGAUGUCCGUUCACAUUUCCUGUCGGGGUAGUCUGGGUGGAUUCUCGAUGGUACCUUCUCCAGUCCUCUGCCUCAUGCGAGUUUAUCUGGAAAGGGACAACCCAUUCUUAUUUGUUUUCUUGUCUGGGUGGGUGGAUUCUCCAGAGAUAGAGAGAGUGCUCUGGCGGGCUCGUUAAUCAGCUAAAGAGAGGAGGGCUGCCUUGGAAGGUUGUUGAUUGGUAUCUAAAGGGUUGAAGCCUGAGAUGUAUUAGGAUAUGGUAAUGGAGAAGACGAUUGGAUGUGGUAAGGGAUAAGGUGGUCUUUAUUUGCUUGAUGAUGGUUGUCUCCUUAUGACUACAACAUCAACAACUCCUCAUCAAUUACAUUCUGCUUCUUCUGAAUUGAAUCAAUGGCACUGUCGUUUGGGACACCCACCAAUUAGGACUUUAUCUCUUUUGUUUCCGUAUUUAGUUAAAUCAUGUACUAGGGAUGAACUCUUUUGUGAGGCUUGUACUCUGGCUAACACUCUCGUUCCAAUUAUUCACCUUUAAAUAAAAGAAGCUCUUCUAUUUUUCAUUUGGUUCA